UCCGCCUCGCUUGUUGGGUAUUCAGCUUCU
Molecule: non-coding RNA, 30 nt
Filed under: Rattus norvegicus (Norway rat)
Lineage: Eukaryota; Metazoa; Chordata; Mammalia; Rodentia; Muridae
Source: RNAcentral